UACGUAGGGGGCAAGCGUUGUCCGGAAUCAUUGGGCGUAAAGCGCGUGUAGGCGGCUUGGUAAGUCCGCUCUGAAAGCCCGGGGCUCAACCCCGGGAGGCGGGUGGAUACUGUCAAGCUCGAGUCCGGAAGAGGCGAGUGGAAUUCCCGGUGUAGCGGUGAAAUGCGCAGAUAUCGGGAGGAACACCAAUGGCGAAGGCGGCUCACUGGACCGGUACUGACGCUGAUGCGCGAAAGCGUGGGGAGCAAACGGG
RNAcentral lists this ribosomal RNA (253 nucleotides) under uncultured bacterium. Its description in RNAcentral is "partial 16S ribosomal RNA". It matches the Rfam family "Bacterial small subunit ribosomal RNA", at positions 524 to 776 of the family's 1533-position model. The record is from RNAcentral.